AUACGGAGGGGGCUAGCGUUGUUCGGAAUUACUGGGCGUAAAGAGCACGUAGGCGGGUGUGUAAGUCGGUCGUGAAAUCCUCUGGCUCAACCAGAGAACUGCGGCCGAAACUACACAUCUUGAGUCUAGCAGAGGGAAUCGGAAUCCGGAGUGUAGCGGUGAAAUGUGUAGAUAUUUCGGAGAACACCAGUGGCGAAGGCGGGUUCCUGGGCUAGUACUGACGCUGAGGUGCGAAAGCGUGGGUAGCGAACAGAAUUAGAAACCCCGGUAGUCC
RNAcentral lists this ribosomal RNA (274 nucleotides) under uncultured bacterium. RNAcentral's name for it is "partial 16S ribosomal RNA". It matches the Rfam family "Bacterial small subunit ribosomal RNA", at positions 523 to 796 of the family's 1533-position model. The record is from RNAcentral.